RNAcentral lists this ribosomal RNA (350 nucleotides) under Staphylococcus aureus. RNAcentral's name for it is "partial 23S ribosomal RNA". It matches the Rfam family "Bacterial large subunit ribosomal RNA", at positions 2098 to 2447 of the family's 2925-position model. The record is from RNAcentral. Lineage: Bacteria; Bacillati; Bacillota; Bacilli; Caryophanales; Staphylococcaceae.
GCUUUACUGUAGCCUGAUAUUGAAAUUCGGCACAGCUUGUACAGGAUAGGUAGGAGCCUUUGAAACGUGAGCGCUAGCUUACGUGGAGGCGCUGGUGGGAUACUACCCUAGCUGUGUUGGCUUUCUAACCCGCACCACUUAUCGUGGUGGGAGACAGUGUCAGGCGGGCAGUUUGACUGGGGCGGUCGCCUCCUAAAAGGUAACGGAGGCGCUCAAAGGUUCCCUCAGAAUGGUUGGAGAUCAUUCAUAGAGUGUAAAGGCAUAAGGGAGCUUGACUGCGAGACCUACAAGUCGAGCAGGGUCGAAAGACGGACUUAGUGAUCCGGUGGUUCCGUAUGGAAGGGCCAUCG